UGGUGGCACGGGACACAUACUGUACUGUAGACCAAUUUCUAGUUUUGUUUGGAGCUGCUGUUCCCUGGCUGCUAAAUACUAUAUUCCUUUAACUGAGAUCAUUUCCCUUUGUUUACCGGCUUCGAGCAGGACUCGGAGAAAGAAUCUGAAAGAAAAGGCCGUGUGAAGUGCCAAUAACAUGAGACAUCUGUUGUGUCUGAUGCUGAUAUGGGCAACCCUGUCCGCAACUUCAGCUUCUGCUCUCAGCCCAUCAACUGGUUUCGUGAUCGUCAGUCGUGGAGGAGUGAAGGCCUUGGCAGGGAAGUCUGAAUAUACUGGAGGAGCAUUUGGAGGAUCGCCAGCUGGAGCUUUGGGUAGUCUUGUGGGAUGGCCAAUGACAGGGGUGAUGGGAGGAGCAUUGGGCUGGGCAAUAGGACUUGAGGGAAAAGCUGCUGUAUCCACUGCCGUCGGAGCAGCAGCAGCAGACGGAGACGUGGCUGCAUUAUUUAGAUCUGUCAAAGCAGAUUAUUUCCUCAUCGACCCUGUUACUGGGUGUAUCUAUGGUAUGGUGGGAGGGGCAGUGGGAGGAGCCAAAGGUGGGGCAGUCGGUGCAUGGAAGUUGGCAGAGGCUAUGGGAGAUCAUUUAGGAGGAUCAGAUGCUGGAAAACUUCUAGCUAAUGUAGUCGCAGCAGUUACAACUGGCACUGUCACUGGAGCAGCUGCUGGAUGUUUUUUGGGGGGUGAAUAUGGAGGACAAA
This is a long non-coding RNA of Engraulis encrasicolus (European anchovy), 737 nucleotides long. RefSeq lists it as uncharacterized. NCBI's taxonomy places the organism in Eukaryota, Metazoa, Chordata, Actinopteri, Clupeiformes, Engraulidae. The transcript is spliced from 3 exons. The record is from RefSeq and is a predicted model, not a curated record.